This 255-nucleotide long non-coding RNA is filed under the name Malus domestica (apple). RNAcentral describes it as "long non-coding RNA (MDOM_LNC000330)". The record is from RNAcentral. Lineage: Eukaryota; Viridiplantae; Streptophyta; Magnoliopsida; Rosales; Rosaceae.
CAACUCUAGUGAGACUAGCAAGUUGCUCUUCUCAAAGGGAACGUACCCUUUGACUCCCAAAGAAAUAAUGCGUAAAUAGAAUCCUUUAUGCAUACGCAAAAAGGUGAUUUAUGUAUUUCAUAUUGUAUGAAAAACAUUAAUAUGAGUUGUACCUAGAACGGUACAAGACGAUAUCAGUGCAAGCCCAGGAUCAAAACCAUGGCAACUGUCAAGUGAGUCCUUAAGUAUUUAAGAAAUACUAAAGGAUAGAUUCCU